RNAcentral lists this ribosomal RNA (462 nucleotides) under uncultured bacterium. RNAcentral describes it as "bacterial SSU rRNA". It matches the Rfam family "Bacterial small subunit ribosomal RNA", at positions 338 to 793 of the family's 1533-position model. The record is from RNAcentral.
CCUACGGGAGCAGCAGUGGGGAAUAUUGCACAAUGGGCGCAAGCCUGAUGCAGCCAUGCCGCGUGUAUGAAGAAGGCCUUCGGGUUGUAAAGUACUUUCAGCAGUGAGGAAGGUGGGUAUGUUAAUAGCAUACUCAUUUGACGUUAGCUGCAGAAGAAGCACCGGCUAACUCCGUGCCAGCAGCCGCGGUAAUACGGAGGGUGCGAGCGUUAAUCGGAAUUACUGGGCGUAAAGCGCAUGCAGGUGGUUUGUUAAGUCAGAUGUGAAAGCCCGGGGCUCAACCUCGGAAUUGCAUUUGAAACUGGCAAACUAGAGUACUGUAGAGGGGGUAGAAUUUCAGGUGUAGCGGUGAAAAUGCGUAGAGAUCUGAAGGAAUACCGGUGGCGAAGGCGGCCCCCUGGACAGAUACUGACACUCAGAUGCGAAAGCGUGGGGAGCAAACAGGAUUAGAUACCCUGGUAG